CUGGCGGCGUGCUAACACAUGCAGUCGCUCGAGAAAGGGCUUCGGCCUGAGUAAAGUGGCGCACGGGUGAGUAACACGUGACUUAUCUACCCUCGAGUGGGGAAUAACCUAGGGAAACCCGGGCUAAUACCGCAUAACACUUACGAGUCAAAGCAGCAAUGCGCUUGGGGAGGAGGUCGCGGCAGAUUAGUUAGUUGGUGGGGUAAUGGCCUACCAAGACGAUGAUCUGUAUCCGGCCUGAGAGGGCGCACGGACACACUGGAACUGAAACACGGUCCAGACUCCUACGGGAGGCAGCAGUGGGGAAUUUUGCGCAAUGGGGGAAACCCUGACGCAGCAACGCCGCGUGGAGGAUGAAGUCUCUUGGGACGUAAACUCCUUUCGACAGGGACGAUAAUGACGGUACCUGUAGAAGAAGCCCCGGCUAACUUCGUGCCAGCAGCCGCGGUAAUACGAGGGGGGCAAGCGUUGUUCGGAAUUAUUGGGCGUAAAGGGCGCGUAGGCGGUUUGGCAAGUUUCGUGUGAAAUCUUCGGGCUCAACUCGAAGUCAUGCACGGAAAACUGCCGGGCUUGAGUAUGGGAGAGGUGAGUGG
Molecule: ribosomal RNA, 593 nt
Filed under: uncultured bacterium
Lineage: Bacteria
Description: bacterial SSU rRNA
Rfam family: Bacterial small subunit ribosomal RNA
Source: RNAcentral